AGGACGAACGCUGGCGGCGUGCUUCACACAUGCAAGUCGAACGGGGCUCAUUCGGUGGUAACACCGGAGAAGGCCUAGUGGCGAACGGGUGCGUAACACGUGAAGAACCUGCCCCGAAGACUGGGAUAACAGCGGGAAACCGCUGCUAAUACCGGAUGACCCCACCAGGCCGCAUGGCCAGGUGAGGAAAUGGGCCUACCGCUUCGGGAGGGCUUCGCGGCCUAUCAGCUUGUUGGUGGGGUAACGGCCUACCAAGGCUACGACGGGUAGCUGGUCUGAGAGGACGACCAGCCACACUGGGACUGAGACACGGCCCAGACUCCUACGGGAGGCAGCAGUGGGGAAUCUUGCGCAAUGGGCGAAAGCCUGACGCAGCAACGCCGCGUGAGGGAUGAAGGUUUUCUGAAUUGUAAACCUCUUUCGACAGGGACGAUAAUGACGGUACCUGUAGAGAAGCACCGGCCAACUAUGCGCCAGCAGCCGCGGU
RNAcentral lists this ribosomal RNA (487 nucleotides) under uncultured bacterium. RNAcentral describes it as "SSU rRNA". It matches the Rfam family "Bacterial small subunit ribosomal RNA", at positions 26 to 521 of the family's 1533-position model. The record is from RNAcentral.